Molecule: long non-coding RNA, 1311 nt
Organism: Polyodon spathula (Mississippi paddlefish)
Lineage: Eukaryota; Metazoa; Chordata; Actinopteri; Acipenseriformes; Polyodontidae
Exons: 3
Source: RefSeq, a predicted model, not a curated record
UAGCUUAAUAUUUUUGCAGUGCUUGGAACUACAAAGUUCAAAAUUCUUUUUAUUUAAAUUUGAACUUGCAACUAAUAGGAAUUAUGAAGACAAGCGGCAUUCUUUUGUAGAAUCACUUCUAUAGUGUCUACAGUUUGCUGUUAAUUUGAUUGAGAAGGGGAGUAUAUUUUAAUGAUUCGCAUUUCGUAAACAUGCCCGUGCCGAGCGGUUCAGCGGUGACAGCUCCCCUCCAGCUGCAGAACACCGCGCUUUCUCUAGAAGUUGCCCAGGCAGAAGGGUCCUCUUUCGCCUACCCGAGGGUUGCUCUGGUGGUCGUGCUGCUGUUUUUAGCGUUUGGCGGAUCUGAAAGAUUGGGAGACAGGACAGAAUCUGGAACAGCAGUGCAUCACACAGCACUGCCUGCUCCACAUACCGGUGCUGAAGCCUCUCAUCCUGUGUGACCCCUGGGCGCGGGUUGGCUUCUGUGAGAGGCACUGAGCCUUCAUGAAGAAACAUUGCUCCAGGAUCUGUGACAUAUGCUUCGAGCCUCUUGAACGGGAACCCACCACGGCAACCCCCCACUCUAACAUGAAGACCAUGUUGGUGCCCCGCGGACAGCAGAUCGUCACCUUCCGCUGGUUAUAUAUAUUUUUGUUUCUGCUUUUGUAUUCAAGCCCAAACAGAUUCCACAGUUACACAAUGCACGGUGCUGAAGUGCAAUAUAUUGAGCGCACGGCUCCCAGCAGAAAACUUUCAUGUCUUUAGAUGCAGCUGAUCCUUCAUUUAAAAGACAGUGUCUGGGAUGAGGAGGGUAAUUAAUGAACCUGUAUGCUUUACAGACACCUGCGCUGCAACCUGUGUGCAGACUCACUGUGCAUGGAACCUCCUUGAUGCUGCAUGUAUAACAGUACUACAGAGCUGCAUUUUACAGUACACUGCAGUUCAGACUGUAGUACACAAUAUAAGCUAUAUAGGGCCUUGAGUAAAACCUUGAUUAGUUCAAAUCAUUGGGGUGGUGGAUAGCAGAUGGUAUGCUGUUUAUGAAUUCAACUGAACUAUAUCAGAGAUUGAGGGCUUAGUGUAUUCUCUAUGACAAUAGGGCAGAAGAGCACAGCACACUACAUGGCAGGUUACCUGCUGGGAUAAUUGGGGUUCAGGUGAUCAGGGAUUACCAUACCCACCCCCCAAUCCAUUAAUAUAUACAAAUCCAUCUAAUAGCGUAAUUAAAGUACUUAAUUAAAAUGGCAACGUUGGAAAACUUUACCAAGGCCCAAACUGAUAAAUAUUUGCACGAGUCUUUGAGGAUUGUCUCAAUAUAUGUAACUUUAUCAU